CAGCCGCCGCGGUAAUACGAGGAGAGCAAGCGUUGUUCGGAAUUAUUGGGCGUAAAGGGUGCGUAGGCGGCUUGACAAGUCUUGUGUGAAAUCUAUGGGCUCAACCCAUAGUCUGCACGGGAAACUGUCGGGCUUGAGAAUGGGAGAGGUGAGUGGAAUUUCCGGUGUAGCGGUGAAAUGCGUAGAUAUCGGAAGGAACACCUGUGGCGAAAGCGGCUCACUGGACCAUUUCUGACGCUGAUGCACGAAAGCUAGGGGAGCAAACAGGAUUAGAUACCCCCGUAGUCCCUGUCUCUUAUAC
This 301-nucleotide ribosomal RNA is filed under the name uncultured bacterium. RNAcentral describes it as "partial 16S ribosomal RNA". It matches the Rfam family "Bacterial small subunit ribosomal RNA", at positions 509 to 807 of the family's 1533-position model. The record is from RNAcentral.